UGCGACGUUCCUGCGACGUCUCUCUCUCGCUUGCGACCCAUUUGCCUUCUCUUUCCCCCUUUCCUUCGCGGGCCCCUCCCUACCUACUUUUUCCUCUCUUCCUCUCUCUCUCUUCCAUCAUCUCUUGCCCCUUUCCUUUUCCUUUUUUUUUAUUCGUCCCGUCUUUUAUGUUUUGCAAAUCUCGAGUGAACGAGCGCGCUCGUGUACACUCGCGAGAAAGCGACGUGAAUUUGUACGCCGACCAUGGGUUCACGCCCAAACAAGUAUGGCGCGGACGGACAGUCGACGGUCACGAUAAAUUUUGGUGACCAGACAAACUAGAAUAGUCCUUUUUAUCUAGUGGAAAAA
Molecule: long non-coding RNA, 348 nt
Filed under: Polistes fuscatus (common paper wasp)
Lineage: Eukaryota; Metazoa; Arthropoda; Insecta; Hymenoptera; Vespidae
Description: uncharacterized LOC122518195
Source: RNAcentral